This 293-nucleotide ribosomal RNA is filed under the name uncultured bacterium. Its description in RNAcentral is "partial 16S ribosomal RNA". It matches the Rfam family "Bacterial small subunit ribosomal RNA", at positions 505 to 796 of the family's 1533-position model. The record is from RNAcentral.
GUGUCAGCAGCCGCGGUAAUACGGAGGGUGCAAGCGUUGUCCGGAUUUACUGGGUGUAAAGGGCGUGUAGGCGGGAAGAUAUGUCGGGAGUGAAAUCGUGCGGCUUAACCGUAUCAAUGGCUUCCGAAACUGUUUUUCUUGAAUGCUGCAGAGGCGAAUGGAAUUCCAGGUGUAGCGGUGGAAUGCGUAGAUAUCUGGAAGAACACCAGUGGCGAAGGCGGUUCGCUGGGCAGUGAUUGACGCUGAGGCGCGAAAGUGUGGGGAGCAAACAGGAUUAGAUACCCGCGUAGUCC